CCUACGGGGUGCAGCAGUGAGGAAUAUUGGUCAAUGGACGAGAGUCUGAACCAGCCAAGUAGCGUGAAGGAUGACUGCCCUAUGGGUUGUAAACUUCUUUUAUAUGGGAAUAAAAUGUUCCACGUGUGGGAUUUUGUAUGUACCAUAUGAAUAAGGAUCGGCUAACUCCGUGCCAGCAGCCGCGGUAAUAUGGAGGAUCCGAGCGUUAUCCGGAUUUAUUGGGUUUAAAGGGAGCGUAGGUGGAUUGUUAAGUCAGUUGUGAAAGUUUGCGGCUCAACCGUAAAAUUGCAGUUGAAACUGGCAGUCUGGAGUACAGUAGAGGUGGGCGGAAUUCGUGGUGUAGCGGUGAAAUGCUUAGAUAUCACGAAGAACUCCGAUUGCGAAGGCAGCUCACUGGACUGCAACUGACACUGAGGCUCGAAAGUGUGGGUAUCAAACAGGAUUAGAUACCCCAGUAGUC
Molecule: ribosomal RNA, 460 nt
Filed under: uncultured bacterium
Lineage: Bacteria
Description: partial 16S ribosomal RNA
Rfam family: Bacterial small subunit ribosomal RNA
Source: RNAcentral